RNAcentral lists this ribosomal RNA (465 nucleotides) under Vreelandella stevensii. Its description in RNAcentral is "partial 16S ribosomal RNA". It matches the Rfam family "Bacterial small subunit ribosomal RNA", at positions 338 to 795 of the family's 1533-position model. Lineage: Bacteria; Pseudomonadati; Pseudomonadota; Gammaproteobacteria; Oceanospirillales; Halomonadaceae. The record is from RNAcentral.
CCUACGGGUGGCAGCAGUGGGGAAUAUUGGACAAUGGGCGAAAGCCUGAUCCAGCCAUGCCGCGUGUGUGAAGAAGGCCUUCGGGUUGUAAAGCACUUUCAGUGGGGAAGAAAGCCUUGGGGCUAAUACCCUCGAGGAAGGACAUCACCCACAGAAGAAGCACCGGCUAACUCCGUGCCAGCAGCCGCGGUAAUACGGAGGGUGCGAGCGUUAAUCGGAAUUACUGGGCGUAAAGCGCGCGUAGGCGGUCUGAUAAGCCGGUUGUGAAAGCCCCGGGCUCAACCUGGGAACGGCAUCCGGAACUGUCAGGCUAGAGUGCAGGAGAGGAAGGUAGAAUUCCCGGUGUAGCGGUGAAAUGCGUAGAGAUCGGGAGGAAUACCAGUGGCGAAGGCGGCCUUCUGGACUGACACUGACGCUGAGGUGCGAAAGCGUGGGUAGCAAACAGGAUUAGAAACCCUGGUAGUC